UAGGGAAUCUUCCGCAAUGGACGCAAGUCUGACGGAGCAACGCCGCGUGAGUGAAGAAGGAUUUCGGUUCGUAAAACUCUGUUGUUAGAGAAGAACAGCGCAUAGAGUAACUGUUAUGCGUGUGACGGUAUCUAACCAGAAAGCCACGGCUAACUACGUGCCAGCAGCCGCGGUAAUACGUAGGUGGCAAGCGUUGUCCGGAUUUAUUGGGCGUAAAGCGAGCGCAGGCGGUCAAUUAAGUCUGAUGUGAAAGCCCCCGGCUCAACCGGGGAGGGUCAUUGGAAACUGGUUGACUUGAGUGCAGCAGAGGGGAGUGGAAUUCCAUGUGUAGCGGUGAAAUGCGUAGAUAUAUGGAGGAACACCAGUGGCGAAGGCGACUCUCUGGUCUGUAACUGACGCUGAGGCUCGAAAGCGUGGGUAGCAAACAGG
RNAcentral lists this ribosomal RNA (429 nucleotides) under Bacteroidota bacterium. Its description in RNAcentral is "Bacteroidetes bacterium partial 16S ribosomal RNA". It matches the Rfam family "Bacterial small subunit ribosomal RNA", at positions 355 to 776 of the family's 1533-position model. The record is from RNAcentral. Lineage: Bacteria; Pseudomonadati; Bacteroidota.